This 883-nucleotide ribosomal RNA is filed under the name Salmonella enterica subsp. enterica serovar Mbandaka. RNAcentral describes it as "partial 23S ribosomal RNA". It matches the Rfam family "Bacterial large subunit ribosomal RNA", at positions 1 to 816 of the family's 2925-position model. The record is from RNAcentral. Lineage: Bacteria; Pseudomonadati; Pseudomonadota; Gammaproteobacteria; Enterobacterales; Enterobacteriaceae.
GGGUUGUGAGGUUAAGCGACUAAGCGUACACGGUGGAUGCCCUGGCAGUCAGAGGCGAUGAAGGGCGUGCUAAUCUGCGAUAAGCGCCGGUAAGGUGAUAUGAACCGUUAUAACCGGCGAUACCCGAAUGGGGAAACCCAGUGUGACUCGUCACACUAUCAUUAACUGAAUCCAUAGGUUAAUGAGGCGAACCGGGGGAACUGAAACAUCUAAGUACCCCGAGGAAAAGAAAUCAACCGAGAUUCCCCCAGUAGCGGCGAGCGAACGGGGAGGAGCCCAGAGCCUGAAUCAGCAUGUGUGUUAGUGGAAGCGUCUGGAAAGGCGCGCGAUACAGGGUGACAGCCCCGUACACAAAAGCGCAUGUGCUGUGAGCUCGAUGAGUAGGGCGGGACACGUGGUAUCCUGUCUGAAUAUGGGGGGACCAUCCUCCAAGGCUAAAUACUCCUGACUGACCGAUAGUGAACCAGUACCGUGAGGGAAAGGCGAAAAGAACCCCGGCGAGGGGAGUGAAAAAGAACCUGAAACCGUGUACGUACAAGCAGUGGGAGCCCCACCACUAAGCCAGUGGUGAACUCCACAUACGCAUCCUUUGCUGAGGAUACGGUUAACGGAGCGAAAGCGACGUUCAACCUCAAAAGAAGCAGAGGGGGCUUAGUGGUGGGGUGACUGCGUACCUUUUGUAUAAUGGGUCAGCGACUUAUAUUCUGUAGCAAGGUUAACCGAAUAGGGGAGCCGGAGGGAAACCGAGUCUUAAUUGGGCGUUAAGUUGCAGGGUAUAGACCCGAAACCCGGUGAUCUAGCCAUGGGCAGGUUGAAGGUUGGGUAACACUAACUGGAGGACCGAACCGACUAAUGUUGAAAAAUUAGCGGAUGACCUGUGGCU